CCUGGUGGCUCAGAGGUUAAAGCAUCUGCCUGCAAUACAGGAGACCUGGGUUCGAUCCCUGAAUCAGGA
RNAcentral lists this transfer RNA (69 nucleotides) under Bos indicus (zebu cattle). It matches the Rfam family "tRNA". From Rfam's summary of the family: Transfer RNA (tRNA) molecules are approximately 80 nucleotides in length. Their secondary structure includes four short double-helical elements and three loops (D, anti-codon, and T loops). Further hydrogen bonds mediate the characteristic L-shaped molecular structure. tRNAs have two regions of fundamental functional importance: the anti-codon, which is responsible for specific mRNA codon recognition, and the 3' end, to which the tRNAs corresponding amino acid is attached (by aminoacyl-tRNA synthetases). tRNAs cope with the degeneracy of the genetic code in two manners: having more than one tRNA (with a specific anti-codon) for a particular amino acid; and 'wobble' base-pairing, i.e. permitting non-standard base-pairing at the 3rd anti-codon position. The record is from Rfam by way of RNAcentral. Lineage: Eukaryota; Metazoa; Chordata; Mammalia; Artiodactyla; Bovidae.